AAGUCGUAACAAGGUCUCCGUAGGUGAACCUGCGGAGGGAUCAUUCACAUGAUAUACUUUAAACAAACUGUGAACUUUAUAUACUAUUCGUGUUUGUACACUAGUUGAUCAAACAUUGUCAUUCGAUUGAACAUAAGAUAGUUGGCUUGAAAUGUAACAAUUUCUUUCUCAGCUUUGAUUUGAUAUUACUAAACAUUUUAUCACUUCAACCAUAAAACAUAGAAACAACUCUAUGCCCUGGAUAUCUUGGUUCUC
RNAcentral lists this unclassified non-coding RNA (255 nucleotides) under fungal sp. RNAcentral's name for it is "partial internal transcribed spacer region". The stretch from base 1 to 46 matches the Rfam family "Eukaryotic small subunit ribosomal RNA", at positions 1786 to 1831 of the family's 1831-position model. The record is from RNAcentral. Lineage: Eukaryota; Fungi.